CGGCGGAGUAAUAUAUGGAGAGCUUCGGUUACAGUACAUUAUCAGCUAAUAUUGUCACUCAUUAAUCUCCUCUCAGCCAAUCACAUUGCAGGGCCGGAACUAACUGUGGUAUAAUUAACAUUACUAAAUUGUAAUGCUUAAGAACGUUGUAAAUAAUAAUGAAUAAUGAGACAAUAAUCAGUUUAAAACUGUAAUGAUUAUCUAGAAAGGGAAAGUGAACAUGAACGAACUUAAAUUGGUUCGGGAAAAGCUGUUUCUGUCUGAUGAAUGUGAAGAGGGGUUUCUAUGCUGUUGACUUUUGGCUAAAUGCAAAAGUCCAAAAAUGUUUGGCUAUAUUUUGGCUAAAACAGUGGUUGCUAAUGUGUUGUUAGGUGGUUGCUAAGAUGUUGCUGAUUGUUGUUGAGGUGUUGCUAGGAAGCUGCUAAGGUAUUACAGGUGGUUGCUACGGUGUUAAUAACUGGUUGCUAAGCAGUUUCUAUCAAACCUGAUAUUGCUGAUAAGUUGUUGCUAGGCAGUUGCUAAGGUGUUCUAGAUGGUUGUUAGGAUGUUGUUAAGUACACUCAGGGUUGCCAGGUAUAGACAGCAGCACGCAAACAGUGCGCAGCAGCUAUGGAAAAGGUGUUAAGAAGUAAAAGUCUGUAAAGUCAAAAAUGAACUGGAUACCAGGAAUGCAGUUUGGACUUUUAGUGGUCAUGACUAUUCUCUCGGGACUGACUCCACUGGGUUUUUGUACCAACUGUAAAUUAAAUGAAACCUGCACUAACAUUGUGUUGUUUGAUGGUGACUAUACUGGACCGGUACCACUGCCAUAUUCUACCUGUAGUAAUCAAUCACGUGUAUCAGAAUCAAACACCUGUGCUUUCUCCUUUGAAGUGGAUGAACUGAUCACCGCCAAUCUUACGUCUCUAGAUGAUCUACUAAAAGCUCCUCCAACAAGCAUUCCAGAAACAGAUUUGGAAGACUUCAGAAAAUAUAUUCUCUUAAUUAAAAGCAAAAAGUGUGAGUAUUCCUAAAGUUUUAUGCUAUAUAUGAAGCAAAGGAAUACAGUGUCUUGCUAAAGUAUUCAUAGCCCUUGAACGUUUUACAUUUUGUCACAUUACAAUAAAAAAAAUAAUAAUAUAUUUUAUUGAGAUUGU
RNAcentral lists this long non-coding RNA (1136 nucleotides) under Astyanax mexicanus (Mexican tetra). Its description in RNAcentral is "lncRNA (ENSAMXG00005016554.1)". The record is from RNAcentral. Lineage: Eukaryota; Metazoa; Chordata; Actinopteri; Characiformes; Acestrorhamphidae.